AUUGAACGCUGGCGGCAGGCCUAACACAUGCAAGUCGAGCGAGCGGCGGACGGGUGAGUAAUGUAUGGGGACUGCCCGAUCGAGGGGGCUAACUACUGGAAACGGUGGCUAAUACCGCAUACUAUCGGAUAACCCAUAUGGGAUUAGCGAGUGGGGGGGGUAAAGGCUCACCUAGGCGACGAUUUCUAGCUGGUCUGAGAGGAUGAUCGGCCCCACUGGGACUGAAACAAGGCCCAGACUCCUACGGAGGCAGCAGUGGGGAAUAUUGCACAAUGGGGGCAAGCCUGAUGCAGCCAUGCGGAGUGUCUGAAGAAGGCCUUAGGGUUGUAAAGUACGUUCAGCGGGGAGGCGGUACCCGAAGAAGAAGCACCGGCUAACUCCGUGCCAGCAGCCGCGGUAAUUC
Molecule: ribosomal RNA, 403 nt
Filed under: uncultured bacterium
Lineage: Bacteria
Description: partial 16S ribosomal RNA
Rfam family: Bacterial small subunit ribosomal RNA
Source: RNAcentral